UCUCUUUAUUAUUUUUCCUGAUUGGAAAGAAAUCGCAGGGUCAAUAUUUUCAUUAAUCACAUUACAUGACAUGAUGCACCAAAAUGUUACUCUAUCUGUUUACAGGAAUACACUGAAUAGAACACAAGGUUUCACAAUGGAUACACAACUGACGUUUCGCCCAUUGCACUUACAACAGUGAAUGACUUGAGUUAGACUUUUUCUGGAUUUUUUUGUUGUUGCAUUUUCAAUUAGCUUUUUCCUCUUAUUUCAAUCUCUUUUUAAAAAACGGAUAAUUUCUCAUCAACUUUGAAACCUCCCGAUAGAAUUAUCAUAGAAUGCCUGGAUAAACUUUUACCAUGGAGGUAUUUCUCCUUGUUUUACAAACACAAUAUGUAUAGAAACUCUACACAGACCGAAUAUGUAUCUGAAUACAAGUUUAUUCCAAUGUUGCCAAAAGUCAAUACGAGCCAGCCAGAUACACUAUGCAUAUUUCAUCAUUAUAUUCAUAAUCAUGAUAUUUAAUCAUAAUAAAUAUUAUUUUAUACACAAAAGCACAAAAGUUGGCAGCAAGUACGGUGUGGGAAUGCACAAGACGACCGUACUAUGAACUCAAACGCUGUACAGAAGAAUCCAUCUGUAUUUACAGUGAGAAUGUGUGUUUGUGUGUCUGUCUGUCUGUCCAUUUGGACGGCUACAGUCAGUGAAGGCUGUCUGGUCUCAUGCUUCUCUUAUUGACCACAAUGUCUCCAUAAAGAUGGUGAGCAUGCAGCUAUCUAUACCAAGGUCCCUCUUUGGAUUCACCCUGCAGACUCUCAUUUAUAUUAUUACCGUGAGAUAACACAUUUGUUUUACCUCUCCUUGAAAUCUAUAACACAUAUCCCAUUGGUGUCAUAUUUCUGUCUUUACAUACCAGUCAGACUUGUGCUUUAAUUAUAACAUGCCCGGAUUGGAUGAAUGAUUGACUUGGGCUCAGCAGAAUGUUGAGUUUCUCUGACCUGAUUGACAGUACUGUGGUACCCUCUAGACUAGCCUUGGAUAUGGAAGGUUCAGUGGUCCACUGAUUGAGUUCUAAAGUUUGCGACGAGUUCCAGACUGUUCAUUUAAGGGCGAAUCCUAACUUCAACUUAAAAUGCAAUGCAUGACUAAGUGGAGAUUAGGAUUUCUCCCAUUUGUUCCUCCAACUACUAAUGAUACCUUGAUAUGUUGUUCUUUGUAUGCAACUUUUAGUGGCUUCAAAGCACAUCAAGUUGUUUCCCUCAUCAUCUAUUACUACAUGAUGCCAUUCCUAAUGCAGUGAGAUAUAAGGAACCAUUCUAUUUGUUGGACAGUGAUCAACCAAUCAGAUACCUGAAAUGAAUCCUCCACCCUUCAGGUUAUACACUGACUGCCGAUGCACACACUGACUGACAUUUUACAAUGAGAAUUUCUGACCAACCGCAUCACAGGUUUGUAUAGCAGCACGGACUGGACAGCUGAACACGCCAUGGCACAGUUGGGCCCUGGUCAAGCCACACACACCAGGACUGAAUGAGAGCAUACAAACAGCCAGACAAAGCUAAGCAAAUCAUGCUUCAAGCAAUAAGAUGGUGGACAUUCAUGACUGACAGUCUACACAGUCAACCCUUUGGCAACAAGUCCCCCCAUAUGGGGAGUAAUGGGGUACUAUAAAACAUGCCACAAAAAUAAAAGUCUAGAUUCAAUAGUUAAAUAUUCAGAUCCAUAAAUACAAUUAGCGAAGUACAAAUAUGUUCAUAACUGUUUUUGAUGUCUUUCAGUUCACAAUUUUGUUGGAUUCUAGUGAGUAACAUUGGUCAUUAUGGUAUUAAACUUUUUUUUUUGUCUGUUCCAGUUUCAAAAUGAAUCAUUGCAUAGAACAUUUGAAAUGAUGAUUGCUUCCAGCUACUCCUACAUGUGUGUGUGUUUGCUUGAUUGCAUUUAUGUCUCUGUAUGAGUAAGUGUAAACAGAGAUUCAGGUGUGUAUGUGUAGUUAUGCAACUCUCUCUGACAUAUUGCUGAUGUUUAUCAACAUGUUUCAGAUAUUCCCAUCCAUGAAUUUAAACAACAUUAACACCAUUGUGCUGUAAAUCAUGUUAUGCAUGCGAUUGCUUUUCAAAAUCAACCAGCAAAUUAAAAUGUAAGAUAAUAAAUAAGAAAACAAUAGACCAUAAAAUAUAAAUAGAUUUACCAAACAAAAACAUAAAACAUAAAAACAGA
RNAcentral lists this long non-coding RNA (2196 nucleotides) under Salmo salar (Atlantic salmon). Its description in RNAcentral is "lncRNA (ENSSSAG00000092207.1)". The record is from RNAcentral. Lineage: Eukaryota; Metazoa; Chordata; Actinopteri; Salmoniformes; Salmonidae.